Talpa occidentalis (Iberian mole) is the source of this 272-nucleotide long non-coding RNA. RefSeq lists it as uncharacterized. Lineage: Eukaryota; Metazoa; Chordata; Mammalia; Eulipotyphla; Talpidae. The transcript is spliced from 3 exons. The record is from RefSeq and is a predicted model, not a curated record.
GUCUAAGACCUAGAGAAGAGGAGUCUCAUCUGAUCAAGUUGGCGUCCAGAUCUGGAGCGUCCAGACUUCAGAUCUAAUCCAAGACAUGGUGCCCAGAUGAAAAAGUAGAUCAUUCCUGUCUGCUCUGGUGUUUGGAAUACUCGUGUGACUAUGUUCUGGUGAAUGGGAGCAGUGUAAGACUCAGAGUCACCUUUAAUGUCUUUGGCAAAAAUGUUUCCAACAACAACUUAAAUUUGAUGCUUUCGCUUCUUGACAUCCAGUGGAAAGAAUGA